GAUUACAGACGACAGAGAAGACUCAGUUUUGAUUCUUAUUUAUUUGAGUAAGAAUCCUUAAAAGCCGUUACUAACCUCCUCACCUUUAAUCAGCCAGUCGCCGGGAGUCCCGGCAGCCCGGCUUUUACCGGGUGACCCCGUGAACCCGAAUGUGGUUCAGGGCAGCUAGGGCUGCCACCGCCGCCGCUCGUCAGGGAGCUGAGGUACGGCGAGGCGUGUGGCAGGGCAUUCCCCUUUCCCUGCGAAAAAUUCCGGGCAGCAAGGUGAGGCUGGGGGGAACCCCCACCCGCCCCGUGCAAACACAGUCACCUGGGAGAGCCGGGCAGCCGCCGCCGCUCCCGCUCAUUUUGAGCCCGGCGUUCAAUUUCUUGAAACGAGGACGGAAGGAAGCAACAAAUGGGAAGGAAACGGGCCCGCUUGUGAAAUCCAAAACCGGCUCGGGCGAGCUUUUUCCCCCCCCCGCGCCGAGGAUCACCGCCCGCUGCUGGAAGAUCCCGCCGCCUCCCAGCAUUGCGAACCAAAUGUUUCGGAAACAAAAAAAUAAUAAAAGGCAAAAGGGUUGGCAGCACAGAGGAGCCAGAUAGUGCCACGGCGCCUGGCUGCGGCAGUGCCGGCGAGUCCCUGGCUGCAGGAGCCAAGCCAGCAGCCCACUUCCACGGGAGCCUAAAAAAGUAAAUGAACAGCAGCAGCGGUGAGGAAAAGGCUGUCGCGUCGCCCUGGCGCUCGCCAAACGCUCGCCACCCCCACGGAUUCAAAGAAAUAAGUCGUUCUAGCGGGUUUAUAUAAUUUUAAGGGGUCUCGUUCCUCCUUUUAAGCCACUUUCCUGCUUAUUUUCUCUAUUUCUGGCCACGGUUCAGCAGCUCAUCAGAAGGUGGUCUAGUCCCUCAUUGCAGAUUCAAACACGCUUCUGUGCCAAAUUGACCUGCUGUUAUCCCCCCUUUCAGCUACUGUAACCAACACCGCACAAACAAUGAAUUAUGAGAUUAGAGUUACAGAAAAAUGGCCUCAUUCUGCAGAUGUUGUGUCUGGAACCGGCUGCUGCGUGGCCUCGUGUUUGUCGUGUCGUCUUCCUCACUCCCCCUCCUCCUCCUCCUCCUCCUCGCAGCCCCACCUUCGCUGGGUGGCGAUGCGUGCCAGGGAACCUGUUAUGUGAAGGGUUAAUUAGCAGCUUCCAACCCUGCCCCCCACUCUCCCCCCCAUUAAAAA
This is a long non-coding RNA of Tyto alba (common barn owl), 1206 nucleotides long. RefSeq lists it as uncharacterized. The transcript is spliced from 3 exons. The record is from RefSeq and is a predicted model, not a curated record. NCBI's taxonomy places the organism in Eukaryota, Metazoa, Chordata, Aves, Strigiformes, Tytonidae.